Molecule: ribosomal RNA, 253 nt
Filed under: uncultured bacterium
Lineage: Bacteria
Description: partial 16S ribosomal RNA
Rfam family: Bacterial small subunit ribosomal RNA
Source: RNAcentral
UACAGAGGGUGCGAGCGUUAAUCGGAAUUACUGGGCGUAAAGCGUACGCAGACGGUGAGAAAGGUCGGAUGUGAAAGCCCCGGGCUCAACCCGGGAACUGCAUCCGAAACCAUCUCGCUAGAGUAUGGGAGAGGGAAGCGGAAUUCCUGGUGUAGAGGUGAAAUUCGUAGAUAUCAGGAGGAACAUCUGCGGCGAAGGCGGCUUCCUGGCCCAUUACUGACGUUCAGGUACGAAAGCGUGGGUAGCAAACAGG